UACAGAGGUGGCAAACGUUGUCCGGAUUUAUUGGGUGUAAAGGGCAUGUAGGUGGCUCUAUAAGUCAAAGGUGAAAUGGCCCGGCUCAACCAGGUCAUUGCCUUUGAAACUGCAGAACUUGAGUACGGAAGAGGAAAGCGGAAUUCCCAGUGUAGCGGUGAAAUGCGUAGAUAUUGGGAGGAACACCGGUGGCGAAGGCGGCUUUCUGGUCCGAAACUGACACUGAGAUGCGAAAGCCAGGGGAGCAAACGGG
RNAcentral lists this ribosomal RNA (253 nucleotides) under uncultured bacterium. Its description in RNAcentral is "partial 16S ribosomal RNA". It matches the Rfam family "Bacterial small subunit ribosomal RNA", at positions 524 to 776 of the family's 1533-position model. The record is from RNAcentral.